UGUAAUGGUUUCACAAGUGCAUGUGUAUA
Molecule: non-coding RNA, 29 nt
Filed under: Homo sapiens (human)
Lineage: Eukaryota; Metazoa; Chordata; Mammalia; Primates; Hominidae
Source: RNAcentral